UGGGGAAUAUUGGACAAUGGGCGGAAGCCUGAUCCAGCCAUGCCGCGUGUGUGAAGAAGGCCUUAUGGUUGUAAAGCACUUUAAGCGAGGAGGAGGGUACUGGUAUUAAUACUACCAGCUACUGGACGUUACUCGCAGAAUAAGCACCGGCUAACUCUGUGCCAGCAGCCGCGGUAAUACAGAGGGUGCGAGCGUUAAUCGGAUUUACUGGGCGUAAAGCGUGCGUAGGCGGCUAAUUGAGUCGGAUGUGAAAUCCCCGAGCUUAACUUGGGAAUUGCAUUCGAUACUGGUUAGCUAGAGUGUGGGAGAGGAUGGUAGAAUUCCAGGUGUAGCGGUGAGAUGCGUAGAGAUCUGGAGGAAUACCGAUGGCGAAGGCAGCCAUCUGGCCUAACACUGACGCUGAGGUACGAAAGCAUGGGGAGCAAACAGG
RNAcentral lists this ribosomal RNA (430 nucleotides) under Pseudomonadota bacterium. Its description in RNAcentral is "Proteobacteria bacterium partial 16S ribosomal RNA". It matches the Rfam family "Bacterial small subunit ribosomal RNA", at positions 355 to 776 of the family's 1533-position model. Lineage: Bacteria; Pseudomonadati; Pseudomonadota. The record is from RNAcentral.